Molecule: long non-coding RNA, 1650 nt
Filed under: Podarcis lilfordi (Lilford's wall lizard)
Lineage: Eukaryota; Metazoa; Chordata; Lepidosauria; Squamata; Lacertidae
Source: RNAcentral
GGCGCCCUUGCCAAAGGUCCAGCCUCUCCUCCCCUCCACUUAUGGAGCUGCGUGCAAAAAGUAGUCUCUCUUUCCCUGAAGCAUUGCACGAUCGAGCCGUCGGCUCCGCGUGCAAAAAUCGACCGCUUCCAGGCGGGGGCGGCGCAUGGAAGAUUUUGCAAGGAGGGGGAAACUUGCAGUGAGAGGGAAAUUCAGUGACGGGUCAUUUUCUCUUCCCGUUGGAAGAACAUGUCCAUGUUUACUUGUGUGGAUCUGAAAUGGAUUUCGUUAUUUAAAGCAUUAAAAAGAGAUUGUGGUUGUUGUAAACAAAAUCUGCCCUUUUCCCCUUAUGGGGUAUCCAAGAACAUGGUCAUCAACGCAAAAAGGAGCCCACAUAAAUGCAAGUGAGAAAACGGUCCCAGUACUGAAGCUUUCAAUAUUAAAAGACGCCGCGCAAAAUGAAAAAAGUGAUUGGAAGGGGGAAAGUAAGCUCUAUUUCUUCGUUACCCUGUGCAUUUAAAGUAUAGCUGAGCUGCUUCAUUUUAUUUAGGGCAUCCCUUCCCAGCAGGGGAUUAAUCUGAACUCAGGAGGGCUGGAUCCUGAGACCUGUUUACAACUGUGGGACUCAGUGCUGUGACAGCUGAAGUAGUAACAAGUAAUGGCUUCUGAACACCGUAAAGAGUAGUUUCCACCUCAUUAUUUAGCUACACAUCUGGGGAUCAAAAAGAAAAGAAGAAGAAGAAGAGUUUGGACUUGAUAUCCCGCCUUUCACUCCCCUUCAGGAGUCUCAAAGCGGCUAACAAUCUCCUUUCCCUUCCUCCCCCACAACAAACACUCUGUGAGGUGAGUGGGGCUGAGAGACUUCAAAGAAGUGUGACUGGCCCAAGGUCACCCAGCAGCUGCAUGCGGAGGAGCGGAGAUGCGAACCCGGUUCACCAGACUACGAGUCUACCGCUCUUAACCACUACACCACACUGGCUCUCUGGAUUCAAAAGGGCGUUUGAAUCCCACUUUUCAUUUUCUUAAGCUGUUCAGCCAUGAACCUUGUCAAGGAAGGAAUCUUUAGCUUCAGUUGUCCAUUUGUAAAACGGGGGUAAUGACACCAGGAGAUUACAGUUCCAGGUUGGUGGCUCCGUUUCUCAGUUAUGCCAAAACCAGAGUCCUCUGCCACCUUUAAGACUAACACCUGACCUCAAAAAGGUUGAGAUUCCUGCAUUAUACAGGGUUGGACUAGAUGACCUUAGGUGUACCUUCCAACUCUACAGGUCUGUGAUUCUAGAAGGACAUUGUAGAGCUAGGAAAGUUUCAAAAACGGGCAAUUUGCCUCCAGCAAGAUGUAGUGACACCCACCCACUUAGCUUUGAAUAAGGAUUGGUCAAAUUCAUGGGGGGUAAGGCUGUGUGUGGCUGCUAGUGACACAACGGUUGUAUUCUCCCUCCACUGUUCGAGGUCCUGUUUGUGGGCUUCCCAGAGGCAUAUAAUUGGCCACUGUGAGAUCAGGAUGCUGAAUUAGAUAUGCCACUGGGCUGAUCUUAUGUUCCUAUACAUCUAUGUUGUAAAAUGCAAGGGUGUUUUGUUUUGUUUUGUUUUUUACAGGAGUAUUCAACAUUAGGCUUUCUCUUGCCCUGCAACAGCAGUUUCUGACUUUGGAAGGCACAAUGGCCUUGGGGC